Molecule: ribosomal RNA, 497 nt
Filed under: uncultured bacterium
Lineage: Bacteria
Description: partial 16S ribosomal RNA
Rfam family: Bacterial small subunit ribosomal RNA
Source: RNAcentral
GAUGAACGCUGGCGGCGUGCCUAAUACAUGCAAGUCGAGCGAACAGACGAGGAGCUUGCUCCUCUGACGUUAGCGGCGGACGGGUGAGUAACACGUGGAUAACCUACCUAUAAGACUGGGAUAACUUCGGGAAACCGGAGCUAAUACCGGAUAAUAUAUUGAACCGCAUGGUUCAAUAGUGAAAGACGGUUUUGCUGUCACUUAUAGAUGGAUCCGCGCCGCAUUAGCUAGUUGGUAAGGUAACGGCUUACCAAGGCAACGAUGCGUAGCCGACCUGAGAGGGUGAUCGGUCACACUGGAACUGAGACACGGUCCAGACUCCUACGGGGGGCAGCAGUAGGGAAUCUUCCGCAAUGGGCGAAAGCCUGACGGAGCAACGCCGCGUGAGUGAUGAAGGCCUUCGGAUCGUAAAACUCUGUUAUUAGGGAAGAACAAAUGUGUAAGUAACUAUGCACGUCUUGACGGUACCUAAUCAGAAAGCCACGGCUAACUACGUG